RNAcentral lists this long non-coding RNA (1952 nucleotides) under Sus scrofa (pig). RNAcentral's name for it is "lncRNA (ENSSSCG00025069044.1)". The record is from RNAcentral. Lineage: Eukaryota; Metazoa; Chordata; Mammalia; Artiodactyla; Suidae.
GGGAGUUCCUGUCAUGGCUCAGUGGUUAACGAAUCCGACUAGGAACCAUGAGGUUGUGGGUUUGAUCCCUGGCCUUGCUCAGUGGGCCUUGGCUCUGGCGUAGGCCGGAAGCUACAGCUCCGAUUCGACCCCUAGCCUGGGAACCUCCAUAUGCUGCAGGAGUGGCCCUAGAAAAGGCAAAAAGACAAAAAAUAAAUAAAAAAUAAAAUAAAUAAGCCCCCAAAACAAAACAACAACAACAACAACAACAAACAAACAAAAAACCAAAUAUGCAUUUAGGAUUUGCAUAGACAGGACAUAGAGAAGAGGAGCAGGGAGGCUGGAGAAAGCUGGAGGCAAGUAAACCUGCCUCUUCUAGCCAAUGAUAAGGGAUCAUUACUUUUCUUCUUUGGGUUUCAUUCCCUCACUGUAAAGUGGUGAGAAAAGUGAGCAUAACCCUUACCUCCAGAAAUAUCUUAACACUUAGAUAUUUGGAUGAUCAGUCUGUCUGAUGCCUUUCCUCUCCCAGCUCUGUUAAUGACUGGAGUCAUGAUCUCAAGCAGCAGCUCCUUGAAUACACCAGGCACACUUCAACCCCAGGGCCUUUGCACUUGCUGCUCCUUCAGCUCAGAACACUCUACCGCCCCCCGCUUUCAUGACUUGUUCUCUCAUCUCAAUAUUUUUUUAACUAUACCUGCUCAGUAAGGCCUUUCCUGACUCUUCUAUUUAACAAUGUCCCCUGUACCUAGAAGAGUGCGCUAUUCAUAGUAGAUACUCGAUAACUAUUUGUGGAGUGAAUUUAUGAAUAAAUGAAGCCUCUUCUCUCUGGGCUUAGCACUGUGCUGAGCACACAGUAGAUUCUUAAUAAAUAAUUGUGUGAGUAGUCAUCAUCCUCUCCAUUUGCCAGAUAAUACUUUGGUUGGGUCAACCCUGAAGCCUUUUUGCCUCUGACAUUUUCUGCCAGGGCAUCAGUUUCAGCUGGAGUGCCCAAAUCUUUUGUUCCUGAGCCUGAGCUAUGCAGAAUUUCUAGUUGGGACUGUUUGGCUGUUGGGCCCACAUGGUUAUUAUGUCAUUAUUGGUAAUUAGCAUUUAGGCCCAGAGGAUUGAGCUUUUUGUUUUUCAGCAGAAAAUCACAGCAGAGAGCAGUGCUAGCCAGCAGAGGCCCAGGCCUAGAGUGGCUUCCUCUGCAACUGCCUCCCUCCCUAGCUGUGGGGUCCAUGGCUUAGGGAGACCAAGACAGGUGCCCAAAGCUAGGGGCACCUGCGUAAGCAGCUCAACUGCUGUCUUCCCCAGGCAGCAUUUUACAACGUUUCUUCUCCCCGACACCCUCGGCUCUCCAUGCCUGGGCCUGGAAUAGAGGGGGUCGCCAUGUCCCUAGGGUAUUUUCUGAUGCCCAGGACUCAGGUAUUAUGCAUGGAAGAAAUAACCCUAUGUUUAAGACUCAGGAGCCUGGGUUCAAGUCCCUUCUUAGCUGCCGAGUUGUUGGGGCCUCAUAGGCACAUACACUACCUUUUGCUGGGCCUCAGCUUUCUCAUCUGUCAAACAGAGAUAAAGAGAUAAAGACACCUGCCUGGCUUUGCUAGGGAAUAGUGUGCAAGGAGAGGGUUCUGGAGUCAGACGCACUUGGCUUCCCAACUGUACCCCUUCUUAGUUGUGUGACAUUGGGCAGGUUGCUUCACCUCUGGUUCAGUUCCUAAAGCUAAAGAAUAGGGUUAAGGGAGUUCUCUUUGAGGCUCAGUGGUUAACGAACCUGGCUAGGAUCCACGAGGAUAUGGGUUGGAUCCCUGGCCUUGCUCAGUGGGUUAAGGAUCCGGUGUUGCCAUGAGCUGUGCUGUAGGUCGAAGGCGCAGCUCAGAUCCUGUGUUGCUGUGGCUGUGUUAUAGGCAGGCAGCUGUAGCUCUGAUUAGCCCCCUACCGUGGAAACCUCCAUAUGCCUCGGGUGCAGCCCUAAAAAAAAAAAAAAAAAAAAAAAA